This is a non-coding RNA of Schistocephalus solidus, 86 nucleotides long. The record is from Rfam. NCBI's taxonomy places the organism in Eukaryota, Metazoa, Platyhelminthes, Cestoda, Diphyllobothriidea, Diphyllobothriidae.
CCGGUGAUAGCUCAGCUGGUAGAGCGGAGGACUGUAGUUGUGCAGCAGCUAUCCUUAGGUCGGUGGUUCAAAUCCGCCUCACCGGA